This is a long non-coding RNA of Musa acuminata AAA Group (dessert banana), 994 nucleotides long. RefSeq lists it as uncharacterized. The transcript has 2 exons. The record is from RefSeq and is a predicted model, not a curated record. NCBI's taxonomy places the organism in Eukaryota, Viridiplantae, Streptophyta, Magnoliopsida, Zingiberales, Musaceae.
AUGAAUAAUUUUGCAUGAUGCACGAUGAAGAUGUAUACUUCAUGGAGUUGAGGUAUUUGGCGUUAUUGUCAGAAUUGUCGUGCAUUUUUUAUCUUUUUGUAAUUAAUCAUUAUAGGUAUUUAAAAAUCUAUACUUUAAAUCUACUAGUAGUCAUGCAUUAUUGUUGUUGUUGGUGGUGGUGGGAGCAUCUCGUGCUGAAUGCAGGGAGAAAGAUGACGAAAGUGUUAGAACAAAACGCAGUCCCUUCUCACGACCAUUACGUGGCCGCGCCGGUGGUCAACAACCUCAUCGAUGUGAUUCCGGACGAGAGAUGAAUGGAACAACACAUCCCGCGGAGGAGGACAAAAGAUGCGGUAAUGUGACAAGAGAGGCAGGAGGCUGGAUAAAGAUGGAGGCGAUGGAGAGGAAUGGGACUGUGUGAUGACGCGCGGCACGAGGCAACGUGUUGCCAUCUCCACGACGAGGGUAGGUGGCGCUCUCCCCCCUCCCGCGCGCCGUUCUUAAGCCUCCUCCUCCUCGUCAUUCCUACUUUCAGGGCCAGCGAGGCGCAUGGAUUGGUGGCAGCGCAUGGUUGUGCUGCCGGCGAAGAGAGCCCUCGUCGCCGUCGCCGCCCGUGUCAGGACCAGAAAGGCCGGACGCGGCAUGCUGGUGAAGCUUCGCAACGAGGUGCAGACGUGCGGGUACGAGGACGUGCAGGUGAUGUGGGAGAUGCUGCAGAGGUCGGCGGCGGAGCUCGCGGGAGCUCCAAGGGGCAGCAAGCAGACGCCGGCGUGGUCGCGUCGGACCUCGUCGUCUUCGGCACGGUCGGUUCCGCGGCCGCUGUGCCAUGAACGGAGAGGAAGCAGAUCGUAGGAAGACCCUGCAUGGCCUUCGAUGGGGUUGACUGAGAUGUAUUCAGUGCGUUCUUCUGCUACCUUCGUUGUUUAUAUGAUCCCCCGGAAAUGAGUGUUCUAAACAAAGAACUAAUAGCUUAUAACAUGAUCAGAAUUCUUUA